CAGGAAACAAUAAUGUAAUUGAUUAGAGAGAGUCAUGAAUAUAUAAUAACUUUCUUGUUUAUUUGUUGUCUUUUCUUUGAGAAUUGUUAACGAGGGAAAAGCACCCUUCAAUUUCCCCUCCGACAGCCUCCCAGGCACAGAGGCCUUAUUCCCUUUACUUCACAUAGGGAAUGAUUCUUUGGAAAUAUUUCCAGACAGCAAUUCCUAAAUAGAGACAAGAUAGAUUUUUCUACUUUUGUAGAAAUUUACUUUUGUCAGCUGCAGUCGUUCUAGGCUGUGAUCAAGUCUGGAGAGUCGUUUAUUGAGGAGGAUCUUAUGCAAGCAACCAGUGUGUCGUCCCUGGGGAAGAGGCUGAAGAUCUGUUGGAGCAGCUGACGGUAGAAACGGAUGUCUGUCUUCUGGAUUUGGGUGAUAUUUCCUCGUUUCCUAGAAAACUUGAACCAUGGUUCCAAGGCUUGUCCCUCCCAAGUGAGCAGGCAGCGCUGGAGAUGAGAACGAUCACUCCCGCCAUUACCAGGGAGGUGUAGGCCACUGUUAUUUCAGAGCCUGCCGCGAGGUCGGCGCGGGUCCACUACGCAAAGAGCGCAAAGCUACCAGCGCUGCGCACCACGGCCGCAGCAAGGCGCCAGAAUGGCGUUUCCAGAUUCCCAGGAUUUGGGAACCGCGGGUUUGAGUUUCGAGUCGUCCGGCAGCCCCAGGGAAACGUCGUCGCGGCUUAUCGCGCCGACUUUGUGCAGCUUCGACCCGAGGAAAAAAAUCGCCUUUGCUGCUGAGGAGGCAGCUCCGCCGUGGUCUCCCUUGAGACAUCUUCCUCAGUGUUCAUUUCUCCAACUGUGUUUUCUCAUGUAUCACACAAGAAGCAUUGACAUUGAGUUCAUUGAAGAUAGAGAAAAUACAUGCAAGAAUAUUGAACACUCUCCUCAAACUCAGUACCUACUAUCUUCAAGAACGUGA
Molecule: long non-coding RNA, 954 nt
Filed under: Papio anubis (olive baboon)
Lineage: Eukaryota; Metazoa; Chordata; Mammalia; Primates; Cercopithecidae
Description: lncRNA (ENSPANG00000039452.1)
Source: RNAcentral